Molecule: unclassified non-coding RNA, 343 nt
Filed under: soil metagenome
Description: partial contains 5.8S ribosomal RNA, internal transcribed spacer 2, and large subunit ribosomal RNA
Rfam family: 5.8S ribosomal RNA (bases 1-120)
Source: RNAcentral
GAUGAAGAACGUAGCGAAAUGCGAUAAGUAAUGUGAAUUGCAGAAUUCAGUGAAUCAUCGAAUCUUUGAACGCACAUUGCGCCCGCUAGUAUUCUGGCGGGCAUGCCUGUCCGAGCGUCAUUUCAACCCUCAAGCCCCCGGGCUUGGUGUUGGGGAUCGGCGAGCCUCCGCGCCCGCCGUCCCCUAAAUCUAGUGGCGGUCUCGCUGUGGCUUCCUCUGCGUAGUAGCACACCUCGCACUGGGAAACAGCGCGGCCACGCCGUUAAACCCCCAACUUCUGAACGUUUGACCUCGGAUCAGGUAGGAAUACCCGCUGAACUUAAGCAUAUCAAUAAGCGGAGGA